UCCCUAGUGGCUCAGAUGGUAAAGUAUCUACCUGCAAUGCAGGAGACCUGGGUUCAACCCCUGGGUUGGGAA
Transfer RNA from Ovis aries (sheep), 72 nucleotides. It matches the Rfam family "tRNA". Rfam says of the family: Transfer RNA (tRNA) molecules are approximately 80 nucleotides in length. Lineage: Eukaryota; Metazoa; Chordata; Mammalia; Artiodactyla; Bovidae. The record is from Rfam.